UUGACUGACCUCGUUAAUCCCUCUCCCACAGCUGUUUAAAUAGAAAAAAAAAGAGGAGCGGACAAUCCGAGAAAGGAAUCUCCCAAAUCUGAGAGGGUUCCUAGGGUUCGCGAGAUCCAUACCCCGGGAUGGAUCCGAGCCCUAGAGCACCCCUCCUCCUCGUCGCCCUCGUCGCGUUCCUCGCGCUCGCCGCAUCCGGGGCGGCGGACGCUGGGGAUGAUGCGUCGGGAACCUCGCUGGGCCGCCGCGCCGGGGGAUUCUUGCACGACCUGAAGAAGGGCGCGGUGGUGGAGGGAGACCACGGGGUGGCGCUCGACGAGGUCGGACCGGGGCUGUUCGACGCGCUCUUCGCCAGCCUCUCCAUGAUCCUGGUCAGCGAGAUUGGAGAUGAGACCUUUAUCAUUGCUGCGCUGAUGGCGAUGCGACACCCCAAGUCAAUUGUGCUGUCCGGAGCACUCUCUGCGCUCUAUGUGAUGACGGUAUUGUCAACUGGACUUGGUAGAAUAGUGCCCAACUUGAUAUCAAGGAAGCACACUAAUAGUGCUGCUACAGUUUUGUACUUGUUCUUUGGACUACGGUUGUUGUAUAUUGCUUGGAAGUCUGACACGAAGGGAUCACAGAAGAAGGAAAUGGAAGAAGUGGAAGAGAAGCUUGAGUCAGGUCAAGGCUUUCAUCUUAACCUUUUUAGCGGAAUGGGGCGAUCGAAGCCAAAUAGCAACAAUCGCGCUCGCAACCCACAAGAAUGCAAUUGGAGUUGCAGUUGGAGCAUCAUUGGGGCACACAGUCUGCACGUCUCUAGCAGUGGUAGGAGGGAGCAUGUUGGCAUCCAAGAUUUCACAACGCACAGUUGCAACGAUUGGAGGUGUUCUCUUCUUAGGGUUUUCUGUUUCAUCGUACUUCUACCCUCCCUUGUGAUGAAAGGUACAAGCACCUCCUUCCACCUGGAUGGCAGCCUUCAGUCAUUUCUUGUCCUGCUGAAGCACCUCCUUCCACCUGGAUGGCAGCCUUCAGUCAUUUCUUGUCCUGCUGAACAGACAUUAUAAAUAUUAUAACCUCCUGCUGGCCGCUUAACAAAACAAAGACAAGUAAUUCAAAUUAUUCCAGCAUCCCUGAGUCAUUGAGCUCAAAUUCAUUUACAGUCCGUACAGAAUGACAGUGUUCUCUGCCAUGCUGCCUUGCUUCAGUCGUAUGUAGAAGCUGUUGCGCUGAGACCAUGGCCGUUUUUUUAGAUAAACAGCGAAUUUAUAUUAAGCAAGUGGCAGGGUCCCUGAAUGUACUUGUCAAGACGUUGCAAUGAAAGUCAUUCAACCAUGUUCUCCUGGUGAGGUAGCGUCUUUUUAUUUGGUGAUGGGGCUGGUGAAUUGGUGUCGGAUAUCAGCACUCUUUGCAUGAUAUGAUAGAUCUUCAGUGUUCAUACUUCCUGAGGGGUUGUAGUAUCAGUUGCAUCCUGUCCGUACGAUAGCGCUCCUAUACUUUCUGAGCUUCAACCUUGCCGUGAUGAUAUCAGAUAUAGUUUGCCAUCUAAGUUCCAAGCUCACUUCAAAUGUUAUAGUUUGCCAUCUUGGUUCCAAGCUCACUUCAAAUAUUACUUCUAGUAGCAAAAAUCUUAUGAAUAGACUUGAUUGCGACCCUUUCUUUGGCUUUUACAAAUGUAAGGAUGCUACUCAAAUGUGCCUUCACGGGCAAAUAUUUGUUGCCAGCAGCUAUGGAGUAUCACACUGCUGAACAGAUUACAGGUAAUGAAUAAUAUAAUAUGACUGAUCAUACUGAUGA
Molecule: RNA transcript, 1773 nt
Organism: Phragmites australis (common reed)
Lineage: Eukaryota; Viridiplantae; Streptophyta; Magnoliopsida; Poales; Poaceae
Gene name: GDT1-like protein 3
Exons: 10
Source: RefSeq, a predicted model, not a curated record